This 99-nucleotide microRNA precursor is filed under the name Nomascus leucogenys (northern white-cheeked gibbon). Its description in RNAcentral is "miRNA (ENSNLEG00000027530.1)". The record is from RNAcentral. Lineage: Eukaryota; Metazoa; Chordata; Mammalia; Primates; Hylobatidae.
GAGGUGGGAGAAUUGCUUGAGACUGGGAGUUUGAUGAUGCAGUGAGCUAUGAUUGCACCACUGCACUCCAGCCUGAGUGACAGAGCAAGACCUUGUCUC